UGACCCGUCGCCCAAUUGGUUAGAGCGCACGACUGUUAAUCGUGAGGUUGUGAGUUCAAGUCUCACCGGGUCAG
This 74-nucleotide transfer RNA is filed under the name Siphoviridae sp. ctL0q1. RNAcentral describes it as "tRNA-Asn". It matches the Rfam family "tRNA". Rfam says of the family: Transfer RNA (tRNA) molecules are approximately 80 nucleotides in length. The record is from RNAcentral. Lineage: Duplodnaviria; Heunggongvirae; Uroviricota; Caudoviricetes.